AACCGCACAGAGUGGACUGUCACAAACAGUCCUGGUUGAGGUCCAUGACAGCGCGGCUGCGCUGAGCCUGUGAGCCAGGGCGCAGGGCGACGCCUUGCACCUGCUGAUGGAGGGAGGAAGGCCCGCUCAAAAACCCAACAAGCCCCCGUUAGACUAUGGUAAAGCCAAGUGAUGAAAUACCUUGCAGCCGCUGAAAAUUAUAGCUUGAGGGAAGAGUGGGAGGAUGUGCAUCCCAAAGUCUCUGUUUCUUCAGCUCCAAAUGAGGCUAACCUCACCUCAGAGUUACCAAGGAACGACUUCACCAUUCUUAACUGUCAUCAGUGUAAACACACAAUCUGAUGUUAAAAGGAAUUGCUCUUGUGCCUUGGGAGUGAGUCCUGAGGUCUGCAUAAAUCAGUGUGUGUCAUCCUUUCAAAGGCUGAGAAAUUUCUGUGGUUCCAGCAUUUCCAGGAAAGGCUCAGGGUAUGAAGUGGGGCUGUUGGGAUUAAAAUGGAAAGACAGAGGCAUACUGCUCAUACCCAGGAACCGAGGUCCUAUGUGAGCAAGAAUGAGGGCCCACACACCUUGUGAAGACAAAGGAGCAGUGUGUCCUGGGGAUAUGAACCCAAGUGUGAACCGUCCCUGUUCCCUGCGCGACUGUUCCGACCCACUCCGAUGCCACCAGAACGUUCCUGACCACAGUGCUUGCCAACCACCCUCCUCCUUCCAAGCCUUGGCCAACGUUUCCCGCUCAGAGCCAAAAUACUCGGGUUUGCCCCUCCUCAAGCCAGUGAACGAAUAGGCCACUACCAAACUAUCCCACACACAACGUGUCCCCUAAGUUUCUUAAUGUGCUCUGGGAAACACUGUGGGCCAUUUUCUGGAAUUUAUGCAGCAUUCCUUAAGGGGUCGUUUUGAAGCAACAGGAAAACCUUCGUGAAAUUCUACUAAGGAACUGGGACUGGUCCAAUUUUCCUACACAAAUUUUUACUAGAUGGAAAUCCAGAAGUUUUGGCCUCUUCUAUCCAUCAUAAAAACGCCCUUUGUUUAAACAAAGUCUCCACUGAUGCAUUUUCCAGCACAUAAGGUAAUUUUCAGUGUGGUACAAAACUCACCAGAGUCCUUUAAAACCAGGGGUGAAGGGGCGGGGAGGAGGAAAAAAGCACCUACACAGCAAAAGCCUUUGUGAUCUAUAACUGAGUGCAUACUGCAUUUGCAAUAAUACCGCCCUUCACCGCCUGGGCUGUAACACAGUAACCCCCUAACAGCGCUGACCAGCCCGCAAACAGAACCACGAAACCUGGCCAGGAACUCGAUCUGCAAUAACAAACCCGGCUUGCAGUAAAAGCCAUCUGUACCAGUGCCAAUUAUCCUUCUCCUCAAAUGAUUAGGUUCCAUCUAGUUUUGCUGACAAGCAAGUAAUGCCACAUUUUAAUAGGCAAUAAAAUGUAUUAUUAAAUAAUUAGUAGCUAAGAAACAGAAAUUAGAGGCUACUUCCCUGCACAUGCGUCCCCCAGCACUUCAGUCUAUUGAUGUAAAGCAACUGGAUCCUCCAAAGAGGACGGACUGAAACCUGAUACAGCAGUUUACUGUGAGACAAUUAUGAGGCUAAUGAGUGUUCACAGAGACUGGAGCAGGAAAGAAAUCUAGAAAAUUCCACCUAACCCCAGUUACGUCUGAUCUGUAGCAGGGUCC
Suricata suricatta (meerkat) is the source of this 1674-nucleotide long non-coding RNA. RefSeq lists it as uncharacterized. Lineage: Eukaryota; Metazoa; Chordata; Mammalia; Carnivora; Herpestidae. The record is from RefSeq and is a predicted model, not a curated record. The transcript is spliced from 5 exons.